This 542-nucleotide ribosomal RNA is filed under the name uncultured bacterium. RNAcentral's name for it is "bacterial SSU rRNA". It matches the Rfam family "Bacterial small subunit ribosomal RNA", at positions 28 to 526 of the family's 1533-position model. The record is from RNAcentral.
GAUGAACGCCGGCGGUGUGCCUAAUACAUGCAAGUCGAACGCGUUGGCCCGACUGAUUGAUGAUGCUUGCAUCAGAUUGACGACGGUUUACCAACGAGUGGCGGACGGGUGAGUAACACGUAGGCAACCUGCCCAGAAGCGGGGGACAACAUUUGGAAACAAGUGCUAAUACCGCAUAACAACGAAAACCGCCUGGUUUUCGUUUAAAAGAUGGUUUCGGCUAUCACUUCUGGAUGGGCCUGCGGCGCAUUAGCUAGUUGGUAAGGUAACGGCUUACCAAGGCAGUGAUGCGUAGCCGAGUUGAGAGACUGAUCGGCCACAAUGGAACUGAGACACGGUCCAUACUCCUACGGGAGGCAGCAGUAGGGAAUCUUCCACAAUGGGCGCAAGCCUGAUGGAGCAACACCGCGUGAGUGAAGAAGGGUUUCGGCUCGUAAAACUCUGUUGUUGAAGAAGAACGUGCGUGAGAGUAACUGUUCACGCAGUGACGGUAUUCAACCAGAAAGUCACGGCUAACUACGUGCCAGCCGCCGCCGUAAUAC